Molecule: small RNA, 78 nt
Filed under: Xanthomonas arboricola pv. populi
Lineage: Bacteria; Pseudomonadati; Pseudomonadota; Gammaproteobacteria; Lysobacterales; Lysobacteraceae
Description: sX9 sRNA
Rfam family: Xanthomonas sRNA sX9
Source: RNAcentral
AUGGGCCAUACCGUACGCUGUGGUUUUGCACGUGCUGUCCGCACCCAACGGACGACUGCUCGCUACGUUUUGCUGGCC